Non-coding RNA from Manis javanica (Malayan pangolin), 5744 nucleotides. NCBI's taxonomy places the organism in Eukaryota, Metazoa, Chordata, Mammalia, Pholidota, Manidae. The record is from RefSeq and is a predicted model, not a curated record.
UGGGUGUCCCCGAGUGCGGGUAAGGGACAAGCUCUUUCUCGUCCGGAGUCACGCUGUCUUCCGACACUUAGGGAUAAGUUUCAGUCCCUGUGCGUCUUGUAGCGACACCUGCGGGCCCGCCCUCAUCUGAGAGUCCAGUGACCCUGAGCGACGGCUCAGGCGCGGCGCUCCGGAAGUGCUUGGGCUCGUCACGUGUGCCUCCAGGAAGUGGCUUCCCCUCUUGCCCCACCUUCGGAGCGGUGCUGCGCUCACUAAAAGGCGGGGACCGGUGUGGGUUCGAUUCCGCUCAGCUCCUCCAGCGCUGCUAGGCACCUUUGCACCUAAGCAUUAGUGCAAAGUCCGGACGAACGCUUUGCGCCGCGUUCGCGUCCUUAGUCCGCUGGCGCCGUGUGACCUUGGGCAGGUUGCAUAAUCUUACCUUCCCAGGUGGCUCAAAUGCAAAAUGGGAUGGUAAAACCCAAAUUGGCGCCAAGCCGUAAGGCUCGUGCCACAGAGCAGGCUGUCAACAAACACCAUCUGUUUCCGCUCAUGGCACUGUUGACUCUGGAUAGAAUUGAGAAGUAGCUUUAAAUGGUGGCUAGGAUGUUCGCUGACAUCGCCACCCAGAUUCAGAGGACUGUGACAACUGUUUGCCUUAACAGCGUCUUCCCUGCCUCAUCAGAACCAAGCCUAGAGGAGCCUCCGAUUUCUUGAUGGAAGGUUCUCCGGGCUCCGUUGUUGAAGGAUAGAUGUGCUCUGCUCUCACUGAAGGAAGCCCAGUGCAAGAGUGUCUCUGCCUUAAGAGGAGGGAGCUUCCCAAAUGGCCUUUACCCCGGGCUGCUGCUUUGUUCCCUGUUUGGGCGGCCAGCGGCCUGGGCUCUGGCACACAACACUUGUCAGAAGCGAGAACCCAGGAUGCAGUGAUUAAGGAAGAUACUUUGUGUCUACUUCUCAUAAGCAGCCUAUUGAAACAGCUGAUGCUGUAGACACCUUAAUGCCUGAGCAUAGCGCAACUACAUUACUCUGCAUUCUUCACUACUGUUGAAUUUAGCGAGGGGAAGGCCAAAUGCACAUGAGCUUGUACACUGCCCUCUAACUGCGUUCGAGUGUGGUGUGGUCUUCCCACGUGAGCAGCGUCCAGGACGCUUACUAGGAAGAAUCCCAGGCCUCAGAUAUCCUGAAGCUGACUGCUGUGUGCACUAAAAUCUGUGAAGUCCUCCACUAACUUGUGGGGUAAUCUGGUGAUUAGAACUAUGUGGUGACAUGAAAAGUUUAAGGAGAGACAAGCGGCACAGAGCCAGAAUCCGGGAAGGGGGUGGCAAAGCAGUGCUUUUCUGCGUUUGGGCACCACCAGCAGGUUGAUGCGGAAGACAGAUGAAAAAUUCGUCACUGGGCAGCUUGGAUGAACGCGACUACGGUACCCACUUCUUAAAGCACAGAUGAGAUCACCUGUUUGACUGCAAAUGCUCGUGAGUGAGAGCCCACCAAAUGGGCGUGUCAGCAAUAUGAGACUCCUUUGAACGAGACAGGCCAGGCUGCUGGGGCCCAGUGAAACGUGCCUUGCGUAUUCAGGGUGUUCUGGCACCCAGAGGGUGCUCCUUCCCCAUUCUUCCAAAGUCUGACAUUCCAGGCCUCUCCUGUCUGUACCCAACAAUGACAUUUGGUGUCAUCAUCCAGUUGAAGAGCCUGGCAUGCAAACAACCUGGCCGAUUCAUUCCUAGAGCCCACGUUACCCACGCAAGACCACGGCCAAGACUGAUGUCUCCAUCCCGGGCAUGCUCAUUCAAACGCGCUCUGGUUUGCUCUGACUUCAGGCCGGGGAUGGCUGAGUGACGCAAGAAUAAUCGACCAGUCAAAAGACCUCUGUCUCACUCCAAUGGAAAGAUACUCCGUGAUGAUUCCAGGUUCUCCACAAGAGUCCCCCGUUAACAGGUCCCGAGCAUGCAGAUAAGUGAUAUACUUUUAAAUAUACAGCUAAGAAAGCAACCCUCAGCUUGUGGGCCCAGGCCCUUCGAGGUCUGUAAAUCUCUCCUUCCUAGAGACCCCCACAGCAAGACCUCACCCCGGAGAUUUCAAAGGCUGGCUCCCACCAAGUCUGCAAGUGACUUUUCUGUAGGCAGCAGUUGGAACAGCUCACAGCACCUAGUAAAACUUGUGCAUAUAUUUUCCUAAAAUAUCUAAAGCAAAAUUCUAAUGUUUCCCUCCACUACUAGACGUGGUGGUGUCUGUGUUAAAAUAGAGCAGCAGACAGACCCAUUUGCUGACUGUCUGAACAGGAGCUCUUGGUGAAUAAAGCUUAGCCUAAAAAAGAUAUUGUCCCAAUAUGUGUCUUUAUAAACGUGUCUGCCUGUCUGUCUGUCUGUCUGUGUGCACAAAUAUUCACUCCUAGAGAAGCAUACAUUUAGGGAAAAUGAUUUGCACCUGACUUGAGUACUAGCCAACUACAGAAAGGCUAUCACCUCAUCUAUGUAGGUCCCAUCUCACCACAAAAUGUGCUCAGGUUUCCAGCGACAUUUCUUGUUUUGAAAAUUCUCCACAUGGCCUUUGAAUUGUGAGUGGUCUCUCUUGGGACAGACAGAUGAAAAUAAGGUUUAUUAAAGAAAGGGACAACAUUCUUACAUAACACGUUGUCAAACAGAGUGAAGGAAAAUCAUUUGUGACUAUUUCUGUGUGUGCAAAAUUUGUCACCCAUGAUUUUUUUUCUACUUCAUAUCUGGAUAUCAGCGUCAACCCAACAUUCUCUAUUUUUUUCCCCUCCAGGUUUCUCCAGGGGAAAAAAUGCCCUUCCAGUAAAGGGGCUGUCAGAACGUCCUUGUUCUGGAAAGCCAUCCGUCAGGCUUUCUUUCAAACUUGUAGGAAGUGGCAGCAGAUUGAUGCCCUCUGAUCUGCUGCGUGUCAGGAGGAAAUGUGGUGGGAAAAGGUGGUAACGUGGAAUGCAGGAAGGAAGUGGAGGCCAUGGCCUCUGAGGAGCCGCUGGGGGCCCCAUAAGACAGGUCGGUCACACCUGGUAUCGAUUCUCAUCUUCCACCGCUCUUUCCCAUGAACAGGCUCUUCCACCAGCGUGGUCAGCUCCCUGGAGCCAGCUUUCUGGCCUCCAAGGCUGUUAGCAUCGCAUCCCAUGUACGCAGCAUGACUCCCACACCCCUACACCAAGCCCAAGCCCAGGGACUCCUCACCACACAGGGUUUCAUGGUUGGCGGGCCAUGGGCCCCUUCUUCAAUGAAAUUAAGAAAACACGAAACUUCCUACAUUGAUAUUCAGUUCACAACCAAUAUGUCAACACAUGGCCAGGCUGCUGGGCCACGAUACCAUGGGCUGGUGGCUUACAUACAACAGAAUCCAUUCCCUACAGCCCUGGAGGCUGGAAGUCCAAGAUCAGGGCGUCCACAGGCUCGUGUCUAAGGAGAUCCCCCCGUCCUGGUUCACAGACGGCAUCUUCUCACUGAUUUGGAGGAAGUGGAUAUUUGGUAAGCAUCUACUGUGUGCCACCGAUCCGGUUAAGUGCUGGGCAAGAAGUAGUGGCCAAAACAAGAAUCAAAAGAGUUCCUGGGUCCUGCCUCAUGGAAGGCGUGCUGGUGAGUGAGGGCUGUCUCCUUGGGAUUCAGAGUUGCACUUCUCUAGUGAACAGUGAUGACCACCCUGAGAACGUGUGAGAGCAUCACAGGUGGCGGCCACCUCCAAGCCAAAGAAAGAGGCGUCAGAGGGAGACCUACACGCCUGGUACCCCGGUCCUGGACUUCCCACCUGCAGCUGAUUUCCUCACGUCCUGAACUAUUUCAUUUCUGACUGUGUUCAUUUGAGAUCCAAGAGGAAAACAAUGGGAUGUAGAUGGCGUCUCAGUGCAAAUGGGAGAAAGGGUGAGUGAAGAAAGGAUCCAUUUAGAAAAAUAAUCUGUGAUGGAAGUAAUAAAAUCAUUCAGGUAUGCUGCAUUCCAAAAGGCUGGCCUUCUCCCUCGUCGAUACACAUGUGCUUCCUUCUGCACGUCCACACGAUUCCAGGCUUAGUUUCCCUUUUUCCUUUGAAUUGUAUCAUUUUAAGACCAACUGAAGUGACACCCCUUCCUCAUACUCUGUGCAAUAGAGACCUCAUUUUCUUACCUUUUAAAUUGCAGCAGACAAUAGUAAAUGAGGCUUGUACGUGUCCUGGAUCAUAAGCAUGCUCCUUGUGUAUAAUAUAUUCUGUAUCUUCUGCUAGUUCUUAAAUUAAGAGCUCUGCUUACAUCCCUUCCGUAGAAUCCCCAUCAAACUGGGUGCCAAGCGUCGUACACGGUUUCAGAUCAGCGUUUGGCUGCAGAUUUUUCAUUUGUCGAUUUAAUUUAGGAUACUUUGGUUCCUGGUUGUUAUUAUGUAUCCCUUCCACAUUUUGUAUUAAACUGUUCUGAGGCAUUCACAUUGCAGAUUGGACCCAGAAGUAACACAAGAUCCAUCCCCAUUCUCUUAAAUAUUAAAUCCCUGGCUCAUGUCACAUAAAUUCUUCCUAGGCUCCCAGGGGCAUUAAUGUGGAUGCUGGGUCUGGUUCUGUGAAAUUCUCCUGUUUUUUUCUGCCCUUCACCCGCCUCAUUCUGGCAUACAAGCUUAGGCUGAGCAGGACCCUGCCACUCCAAGCAUGCACCUUUAGCCUCCAUAGCAAUCGUAGGAAGAUUUUGAUACCUGAUCUGGCCUAGGCUUCUUCUUAUUUACACUGAAUUGCGCAAAGAACUGGGAGAGCGGUAUUGACCUGCAUUGUGUCCGAGAGGAAAAGGCUUCAGAGUUCCUGUUCUUCAUUUCUGCUUUCGUGCGGCCUCACUUUGUAUGGAAGAUGGACUAACUGGAGAGAACAAAGCUGUCACAAAGCAAGACCCACCGCUAAAGUCAAUUCAUCACGAAAUGUAUUAGAGUGAACUAAAAAGCAACUUACUGGCUUACCCAGAAAGGCUAACCCCCCCACAGCACCGUGACCUGCCUUACCUGGUCCCGUAGCUGCACCAUGCCGUCUGGAACAGUCUGUCAUUGUGUUUCGUGACCCCACAGUGCUGAAGGUCACAGGACCUGGAAGGUGAGGAACUCAGACAGCCCAGUGAGGUUCUGGAAAUGCUGCACGCUGACUGCUAACGGAACAUAAACAAAGCAUUUGCAGUAUGGCAUUUUUAUGAGGUGCUGUGCCUUAUCUCAGUGUCCAUCUCCUGAAGGUCGAACUGAAGAAACAUUUAAUGAAGCUUUAAAUGUUACGCAGAGCUGGCACUUAUUGUCAGGACAGCCACUCAUUAGGAGACACAGGUUCAAAAGACCAAGCCACCCGCUCAAGAUGACACCACAAAUCGGUAAUCAAUUUCAGACUUGAAAUGAAUCCUGCCGAAAAUCACCAUCGGAGACAUUUCAACCACCACCAUGGAUCACGUGUAUUCAUCCCAGGAAGUGACCCAUGCUUACCCUACAAUUCAGCCAGCAAGUGUACAGACACCAGACCGAGUCACACCACCUGUCGUGGGCUACGCCAAAGUUGUAAUACUCAUUUCCUUCCCUCAAAACCGAGGGGGCUCCAGGACUGAUUUGAAUCCCCCCAACUUGGAUUUCUGUUACUGUCGUUAAGAAGAUCCUGGACUGAGAUAACAAGCACUUCUGUGACGCCUAAGGAAGACUCCACAUGGCGCUAGUUAUCACUGUGACUGGAGCUCAAUUCCGCGAGGAUCCCUGGGAGCAGCCUCAGAGUUCGGAGUCCCAAACGCACAGGGAGGUGGAGCUGCUGGUCGUCGGCUCCCAUCAGGUGUUGCCUGAGUCCCACGUGGG